RNAcentral lists this small RNA (131 nucleotides) under Alteromonas salexigens. Its description in RNAcentral is "RtT sRNA". It matches the Rfam family "RtT RNA". From Rfam's summary of the family: This family represents a bacterial cis-regulatory element known as RtT RNA. The exact function of RtT is unknown although it is thought that it may be involved in changing the cellular response in relation to amino acid starvation. Lineage: Bacteria; Pseudomonadati; Pseudomonadota; Gammaproteobacteria; Alteromonadales; Alteromonadaceae. The record is from RNAcentral.
AGCAUUAUUAGCCCGCGCAGGAUUUGAACCAGCGAAGCGGUUCGACGUCCGAGCAACGCGAGGCGAACGCACUUCAGUGCGGCCCGAAGGGCAAGGCGCAUAGCGCCGCAGUAAUCCAGCACGACCCAUCA